AGGAACUUAAGUUAUAUCCAAACUAGGGGCCUUCAAAGCCUCAAAUAAAGCGCUACUUUAGUUUCUGC
This 68-nucleotide transfer RNA is filed under the name Trimeresurus stejnegeri stejnegeri. Its description in RNAcentral is "tRNA-Trp". The record is from RNAcentral. Lineage: Eukaryota; Metazoa; Chordata; Lepidosauria; Squamata; Viperidae.